This 1446-nucleotide long non-coding RNA is filed under the name Equus asinus (donkey). RNAcentral's name for it is "lncRNA (ENSEASG00005027411.1)". The record is from RNAcentral. Lineage: Eukaryota; Metazoa; Chordata; Mammalia; Perissodactyla; Equidae.
AUCCUGGAAUUGUAGGCACAGCCUACACCUUCUGCUAAUUUGCAGCAUUUCAGGCUGUGUCUCCUAGAAAGAAUUUGUGGCUUGUUUCUGCUCUAGCUAGAUCUAGAGAAGCUGAGGAAGAAACGGUAAUUCCCGCAUAGCCGAGGAGCCCGGCCUAGGAAGCUUCCAUCCCAUUCUCAGAGGGAGGUUCAGCCACCGCACCUGUAGCCCAAGGCACUGGACCCCAGGCACGCCAUUUCUGGAGCUCUCUCGGGCCUCUCUAGCUGAAGGAAAGCGGGUAGUCUAGGUUCAGUCGGAGGCAUCCCCUCCAGGAUGUCAUUGCUCGGCUGAAACUCAGCCAGCAGCCGCCCUCCUGCCAGGCCAGGGCACCGCAGGACGCCCGGGCCUCCGGAGUCCGGGUGUGGCGCUUUCAUUCUCUCCUUCCCACUCAGCAUCUAAACAGCCCGGUCUGCAGUUUCCCAGGGUCUUCCGGGGACGUGCCUGCCUCUCCAGGGCCUGCCCUACCCCUGCUGAAAGUUAAGCCCUUCGAUGCGAUCACGAAGAAAGAGGCGACCCUCCCUCUGGCCCGCGAGUGGCCUCCCAGGGGCCCCUCCGAGAAUGCCAUCUCCCGCGCAGACCCGGCGCUCUGCGCUGCUGCGAAAGCACCCACCUGCCUCUUCGGGACAGAACUGCGCCGUGGCGGCGGGGACAGCCUGAGGGCAGCCGCCCUUACCCAUGAGGGCCAAUGCGGGGCGCAGCCUCCAAACCCGGGGUCUCACCUCUCCCAGAGGAAGGGGUGGACACGCCAGAGCCUGUCCUCGACCCCUUAAGAAGAAGAGAGUGGCAGCAAGGAGUCCCUCUAGUAAUCUCGAAGGGGCUUACACUGGCUCCCCGCGCCUCCUCCCCAAUCGGUCAAGCUGGGAACCCCGGAGGCUGCGCCUAGCGUUUCGUUAGCGUCUCUCCGCCUUCCUGAGGCUUUAGGCUCCUGCGCGGCUUUAUAUUCCCUUUCUCCCCGCCCGACGUGCCUGCACCCCGGACCCUGCCCGGCACGGCACCGGGCUGGGGUCCGCGGGCUGGGGAAGAGAAGGGGGGCUUUGGGUAGCUCGACCUGGCCGCCACAUCCCCGCCUGCAGGGAAACCCUCUCAAAGUCCCGGCGCGAGGGAUUGGGGGCCGGGAGGAGACCCAGCGGGGCCAGGAGUCUCGGGGUCCCUGUGGCGGACAGAGAGGGGGUUUAAGGGAGAGAUGGUCCCUCGCCUGGGGCCAUUUCCCCGGCUCUCCGAGCCUUUGCGGCGUGGGGAAAGAGCCGGCAUCGCCCAGCUCCUCGGCUCAGACCCGAGCUGUCCCGCGCCCAUACCUCUCCCCUUGGCUCUGCAAGCCGCCCUUUCCCCACCCCCACCCCCGCCGCCCCUCCCUUUCCGGGACCCACUGACCUUGGGAAGGCGCGGACCCGCGGCUGGCGGAGCCUC